AGUGAACGCUGGCGGCAGGCCUAACACAUGCAAGUCGAGCGCCCCGCAAGGGGAGCGGCGGACGGGUGAGUAACGCGUGGGAACGUACCCUUUGCUACGGAAUAGCCUCGGGAAACUGGGAGUAAUACCGUAUGUGCCCUUCGGGGGAAAGAUUUAUCGGCAAAGGAUCGGCCCGCGUUGGAUUAGGUAGUUGGUGGGGUAAUGGCCUACCAAGCCGACGAUCCAUAGCUGGUUUGAGAGGAUGAUCAGCCACACUGGGACUGAGACACGGCCCAGACUCCUACGGGAGGCAGCAGUGGGGAAUCUUAGACAAUGGGCGCAAGCCUGAUCUAGCCAUGCCGCGUGAACGAUGAAGGCCUUAGGGUUGUAAAGCUCUUUCAGUGGGGAAGAUAAUGACUGUACCCACAGAAGAAGCCCCGGCUAACUCCGUGCCAGCAGCCGCGGUAAAGUACAGUGU
Molecule: ribosomal RNA, 457 nt
Filed under: uncultured bacterium
Lineage: Bacteria
Description: bacterial SSU rRNA
Rfam family: Bacterial small subunit ribosomal RNA
Source: RNAcentral